CGCGGUGGCUAUAGAGUAAAGGCAACGCCCAGCCCCCAUUCCGAACCUGGAAGCUAAGCUUUACUUCGCUGAUAAUACUGCAUCUUUCAGGUGUGGAAACGUAGGUCGCUGCCGCGC
Molecule: non-coding RNA, 117 nt
Organism: Sulfuricurvum sp. PC08-66
Lineage: Bacteria; Pseudomonadati; Campylobacterota; Epsilonproteobacteria; Campylobacterales; Sulfurimonadaceae
Source: Rfam